RNAcentral lists this non-coding RNA (45 nucleotides) under Schistosoma mansoni. The record is from RNAcentral. Lineage: Eukaryota; Metazoa; Platyhelminthes; Trematoda; Strigeidida; Schistosomatidae.
AUCCGGCUGAGGAGUCCCAAACAGGAGGAAACGCGCAUCCUGGAU